UGUAGCAUUGCAGAUCUGAGUUUUUAGCCACAUUCAAGAACGGUACAAACAACAUUCUUGCGUCAAUAAGAAGGAUGAAGCUUCGGUGUAUUGAAAUCAGGAAACAAGCACGGCUAGGGAAGAUAACAAGCCCGGAUAUGAUAGGUUUGCUUUGGUAUAGUUGCAAUCGGUGGAUGAAGACUAGAUGGAAGUUGUUUUGGCUUGCUAGGGUUCUGUCAUGAACCCAGGCAGUGCUGACGCCUUAGAAGAGCCGGUUGAUGAUUAGGGGUUGAUUCCAGGUUAUGUUGCAGUUGGGCGGUAUACAUAAAAAAAACAACUUUCAUACAUGAUAAAACAAGGGGAAGGUUUAUCGUAUGCUAAAAACGAGCCAAGCCCAAGCCUAAAAAAUUGUUUAUUCAAUGAGCCCCGGCUUUCCAGAUUUGUCAAUUUUCAACAAAUCCGACUACGAUGUUGGUGGCUAAGAUUCCAUAAAGGGCUUUCCAGAUUUGUCAAGUUUCAACCU
Helianthus annuus (common sunflower) is the source of this 502-nucleotide long non-coding RNA. RefSeq lists it as uncharacterized. The transcript has 3 exons. Lineage: Eukaryota; Viridiplantae; Streptophyta; Magnoliopsida; Asterales; Asteraceae. The record is from RefSeq and is a predicted model, not a curated record.